GUUAUUGAAUUUUAUAAAUAUUUAUCCUAUGAUUUACCAUUAAAACAUUAUACUUAGAUUGUAAUGUUUACAUAUUUUGGUUGGAAUUUAAAAUGCUUAUUAUUUGUAACAAAAUCUUAUGGUAGUAUUCAACAUAGAAAAACCCCAAACUAAUUAUUUAUGCUCAUUAUUCUUAACAGUAUUUUUGAAUUAGACUCCAUAAAAAUAAUUAUGAGAAUGUUAUAACAUUUUGCCUAUGAGUUGUUGAUGGGUUGACAUAAUUUUAUUAGCUUGAUAGGGCUGUAUGUUUGCACAAAAACAUAUUCAACAGGUAUUUUAUAAGAAAAUGGUUAGAAAUUAGGUGGGUGUUAUAAGCAGUGAUAAAAAAUAUAUUUCAAGCAAAAAGAAAAAUACUAAAUUUUGUUAGGGAGGGUAGUUUAUUAUUUGUUUUGAUGUUGACCUUGUGAUGCUUAAAGGGAUAACAAUAAUUCUGUAUUGACCAAAAUUGUUUUUUCCAGCUCCAAACAGGAUUGUGAUAAGAAAAAAAUUAAAAUAUAUUUAUUUGUUAGAUAUAUUUUGUUUGAGGCCUGGAUGGUAAUGUACCUUGACCUGGAGAUUAAUUUAUGAACAAACUUUUCACAGUUUUUGAAUUUAUGUUUGAUUCUGAAAAAGAAAAAAGUCUUAUAUACAGUGUUUUCAAAUUGUUUUCCUUUGUAGAUUCGACCAUGCGUAGUCAUUUAUGAUAUUAAUGCUACAAACUGCAGAACAUUUAAGCAAUGCUCAAAUGCACCUGGAGCAUUCUCUGGAACAAGAAAUCUCACUGCUCUGUAUUAUUAAUUUUUAACAAUUGUCAUAAUGACAGUAUGAACUUUGUGGUAACAACGAAACACAAUGCAUAUGGAAUUACUUAUGAUGAUCGCUCCAAGUUUUCAAAAGGAAUAUUCAGAGGAGUAAAAUUUUGUAAGGGUGCUUUCUAAAGUAUAUCACCUUUUCUUCUAUGAAAUUGAAAGGUAACAUUUGAUUGGAUUAAAGCUUUGUUGAAAUUCGAUGAGACAUGAAUGAAGUAAGUUGAUAUUGAGAUAAGAUUAAGCACAUUUAAGUUUUCUUUUGAUUUUUUAAAAAUAUAUUUACAGUACAAAGGAUUAUACAAAAUUUACAGUUUAUUAAUGUAUCGGAGCUUUCCUAAUGCACAAACAAAUUGAAUUUCAGGCACAACGAAAA
Molecule: long non-coding RNA, 1200 nt
Organism: Cimex lectularius (bed bug)
Lineage: Eukaryota; Metazoa; Arthropoda; Insecta; Hemiptera; Cimicidae
Exons: 4
Source: RefSeq, a predicted model, not a curated record